Molecule: unclassified non-coding RNA, 263 nt
Filed under: Glomeraceae sp.
Lineage: Eukaryota; Fungi; Glomeromycota; Glomeromycetes; Glomerales; Glomeraceae
Description: partial contains 5.8S ribosomal RNA and internal transcribed spacer 2
Rfam family: 5.8S ribosomal RNA (bases 1-72)
Source: RNAcentral
GUGAAUCAUCGAAUUUUUGAACGCAAAUUGCACUCUCCGGUUUUCCGGGAGAGUAUGCCUGUUUGAGGGUCAGCCUAAAAAAAAAUCGACAUUGUUGCUGUUAUUUAAUGGUGACUUUCGUCGGAGAUUGGGUUAUCUUAAACCUUUUUUUUUUUUUUGGUUUAUGCGAUUUAAAAUUUUUUUUCGCGAUUCCAUGAACUUUUCUAAGUUUUUUAUUUCUUAUAUUUUUAUGGUUUAUCGAUUUUUUAUUAGAGGUGACCGUC